Molecule: ribosomal RNA, 465 nt
Filed under: Vreelandella stevensii
Lineage: Bacteria; Pseudomonadati; Pseudomonadota; Gammaproteobacteria; Oceanospirillales; Halomonadaceae
Description: partial 16S ribosomal RNA
Rfam family: Bacterial small subunit ribosomal RNA
Source: RNAcentral
CCUACGGGUGGCUGCAGUGGGGAAUAUUGGACAAUGGGCGAAAGCCUGAUCCAGCCAUGCCGCGUGUGUGAAGAAGGCCUUCGGGUUGUAAAGCACUUUCAGUGGGGAAGAAAGCCUUGGGGCUAAUACCCUCGAGGAAGGACAUCACCCACAGAAGAAGCACCGGCUAACUCCGUGCCAGCAGCCCCGGUAAUACGGAGGGUGCGAGCGUUAAUCGGAAUUACUGGGCGUAAAGCGCGCGUAGGCGGUCUGAUAAGCCGGUUGUGAAAGCCCCGGGCUCAACCUGGGAACGGCAUCCGGAACUGUCAGGCUAGAGUGCAGGAGAGGAAGGUAGAAUUCCCGGUGUAGCGGUGAAAUGCGUAGAGAUCGGGAGGAAUACCAGUGGCGAAGGCGGCCUUCUGGACUGACACUGACGCUGAGAUGCGAAAGCGUGGGUAGCAAACAGGAUUAGAUACCCGUGUAGUC